UACGAAGGGUGCAAGCGUUACUCGGAAUUACUGGGCGUAAAGCGUGCGCAGGCGGUUCGUCGUGUCCGAUGUGAAAGCCCCGGGCUCAACCUGGGAAUGGCAUUGGAAACUGGCGGACUCGAGUGUGGCAGAGGGGGGUGGAAUUCCGCGUGUAGCAGUGAAAUGCGUAGAGAUGCGGAGGAACACCGAUGGCGAAGGCAGCCCCCUGGGCUAACACUGACGCUCAGGCACGAAAGCGUGGGGAGCAAACAGG
RNAcentral lists this ribosomal RNA (253 nucleotides) under uncultured bacterium. RNAcentral describes it as "partial 16S ribosomal RNA". It matches the Rfam family "Bacterial small subunit ribosomal RNA", at positions 524 to 776 of the family's 1533-position model. The record is from RNAcentral.